Xiphophorus couchianus (Monterrey platyfish) is the source of this 1455-nucleotide long non-coding RNA. RefSeq lists it as uncharacterized. The transcript is spliced from 2 exons. NCBI's taxonomy places the organism in Eukaryota, Metazoa, Chordata, Actinopteri, Cyprinodontiformes, Poeciliidae. The record is from RefSeq and is a predicted model, not a curated record.
AGACGAGCGAGAUGACGGAACUACAGGCUGGCGAAGGCUCCGCCCACUCGCCGAAUCAUCCGUUAAUUGACAGCUGAGAGCCGCUCGAUGAUUGGCUGCGUCCUUGCAGCGGUGUUUCUACAGCCAGGCGGUCAGUCAAACCCCACCACUCCCUCCAUCUGCACCUGGAUUACCUACUGGGAGAGCACCGAGCGCCCUUUACAUCCAGCAUCAUCAAAAGGCUAAUUUCUCACAGAUUUGCAUUUGAAUAUCCUUUUGAACCAGUUCAUAUUGCAAUAGUACGUCGGUAACAAAAAACAUGAACAAGCAGUUAAUACCCAUCACGUCGGUAUCAUUCGUUCCUAUAUGCCUGGGACCAAACCGACCGGAUGGUUAAUGCCUUACAACCCGUUUCCCUACAUGUGAAGUUCUGCUUUUAUGUGAAAUCUGCUGGGCGUUGACAAGACGUCAAGCUGGUCCACCUGGUUUCAACACGAGCCUUCAGCUGCAUGUGCAUUUCUACUAUUGAAACCUAAGACGUAAACAUAAAUAGCAACUAAACAGGAAUGCAGUAAACAUUCAAGCUGCAGUAAGCAGACAGGAUUUUUACCUGAUAAAUGGCAUUUAGUCUUUUUCAGCAAUUCUUUUUCCCCCUAAUGUAUUAUGAAUGCGUAACUAAUGCUUUUCAUCACCUUAAACAUAGCAGACAUCAGAAGUGGAGGGAACAGAUGGAUGGAUGGGGGAGUUACUCGAUGCGACGAAGAUAAAAUGAGCAAGAGCAGUCACCCCCUCUCCUUUCUUCUCCUCCCCCUCCUAUUUUGUGCUGCAGUUUCCUAGCAACAUGAGGCUGGAGUGGAAAUGGUGAAGUGAUGCUGCUGCAUUUUAUGAAUGAAACUGGAAAAAGGAACGAGCCAGAGUGGGGAGGGGAGAAGACGGGGUCGGGUUUUUUUUUCCUUUUCUUUUUUCUUCCUCCACUGCUGUUGCUGUGCUUUCUAUUCUCCACGAGUCUCAGCAGAAAGGAGCUUGAAGGCACAGGGAUAAUCAGAAACCCCCCCAACUUUAUUUAACCUCGCCGUUGAUAAAAAUAAUUAAAAAAACAAAACAUGGAGGUAUAUAAUAUAUGGUUAUGCAAAAUUAAACAAUGCCCUCUCUAGCAGGCAAAACAAGCGUUAACAUUAUUUACAAAGAGCCUUUUAAACCGCAGAACUUGACAUUAACAUGGGAUCCGUUUCUCCUAUGAACAUCAAGUCUAGUGAAUUUUAAACAAGUGGUGGACUAACUGGGGUUUGCUCAAAUGUGUGGGUUUUCCAUUGCUAGUCAAAACCAACGGGGUUGUGCGACCUCUCAGGAGAAGACUGAAUAUUUUUUGUCUCGUGAGAAGCACCAGAUCAGAUCAUGUUUUUGUAUAAUGAAAAGCCUGAACUGUAUAAAGCUUGUGCUAUAUGUACAGUGAUGCAGAGAUCGAUGUCCAAUGCU